CCUACGGGGUGCUGCAGUGGGGAAUAUUGGACAAUGGGCGAAAGCCUGAUCCAGCCAUGCCGCGUGUGUGAAGAAGGCCUUCGGGUUGUAAAGCACUUUCAGUGGGGAAGAAAGCCUUGGGGCUAAUACCCUCGAGGAAGGACAUCACCCACAGAAGAAGCACCGGCUAACUCCGUGCCAGCAGCCGCGGUAAUACGGAGGGUGCGAGCGUUAAUCGGAAUUACUGGGCGUAAAGCGCGCGUAGGCGGUCUGAUAAGCCGGUUGUGAAAGCCCCGGGCUCAACCUGGGAACGGCAUCCGGAACUGUCAGGCUAGAGUGCAGGAGAGGAAGGUAGAAUUCCCGGUGUAGCGGUGAAAUGCGUAGAGAUCGGGAGGAAUACCAGUGGCGAAGGCGGCCAUCUGGACUGACACUGACGCUGAGGUGCGAAAGCGUGGGUAGCAAACAGGAUUAGAUACCCCAGUAGUC
This 465-nucleotide ribosomal RNA is filed under the name Vreelandella stevensii. RNAcentral describes it as "partial 16S ribosomal RNA". It matches the Rfam family "Bacterial small subunit ribosomal RNA", at positions 338 to 795 of the family's 1533-position model. Lineage: Bacteria; Pseudomonadati; Pseudomonadota; Gammaproteobacteria; Oceanospirillales; Halomonadaceae. The record is from RNAcentral.